AUUGAACGCUGGCGGCAUGCUUUACACAUGCAAGUCGAACGGCAGCGCGGGCUUCGGCCUGGCGGCGAGUGGCGAACGGGUGAGUAAUGCAUCGGAACGUGCCCAGUAGUGGGGGAUAGCCCGGCGAAAGCCGGAUUAAUACCGCAUACGACCUGAGGGUGAAAGCGGGGGACGAAAAGCCUCGCGCCAUUGGAGCCGCCGAUGUCGGAUUAGCUAGUUGGUGGGGUAAAGGCUUACCAAGGCGACGAUCCGUAGCUGGUCUGAGAGGACGACCAGCCACACUGGGACUGAGACACGGCCCAGACUCCUACGGGAGGCAGCAGUGGGGAAUUUUGGACAAUGGGGGCAACCCUGAUCCAGCCAUGCCGCGUGCGGGAAGAAGGCCUUCGGGUUGUAGACCGCUUUUGUUCGGGAAGAAAUCCUCUGGGCUAAUACCCCGGGGGGAUGACGGUACCGGAAGAAUAAGCACCGGCUAACUACGUG
Molecule: ribosomal RNA, 483 nt
Filed under: uncultured bacterium
Lineage: Bacteria
Description: partial 16S ribosomal RNA
Rfam family: Bacterial small subunit ribosomal RNA
Source: RNAcentral